UUAGGGAGGUGCGUAAUAUGCUGAUGAAAGUAUUGUGUGAAUGUUACAAAACUGAACUGAAAGAAUGGUGAUAUGUGUGGAAAAUUGUUAAUUGUCCCGAUGUCUGAAAGAACUCUGCUGAGCACGCUGAAGAUUGUGAUGUGAAUGCUUGCAAAACCAGAGAGCUUAGUAUAUUUAAAAGUGUGUGUGUGAAAUAAGGGUGUAUUGUUUUUAGAUCAAGACUUAGCAGAAGUACAGAGGGUUUAUAGACUGUAAAUAUAAAAAACAAGAGUUUGAUUAGUCUGUAGAAACAGGAAAGAGAGAAACAGAAAAAUAUGAGUCUGCAUGGCUGUGUGUGUGAGAGAGGAAGUAGUGUGUGUGACAGGAACUUUGCAUGCCCAUAAAAGGAAACUGGCUGAUGUGUGUAGUGUGAGACCAGAGAGAGACUUAGGAAGGAAUGUGUUAAGAAAAAGUGAUAAAAUGAAAUUAAUUAAAUGCUUUAGUGUGUUAAUACAGGUGGACUUCCCUCAACCUGAAAUCUUGAGUAAAGCGGCAAAAUGAUAGAUUAACAGAAUUGGGAGGAAAACAGGCCAGGUUUUGGCUAAAAUUUUACAGCUUGACCUCUCACUUUGUCCCGACCCUGAGAAGAAGCUCAAAGGACAGUUAAUCUCCUGAUGAAGACCGACAGAACAUCGUGGACUUGAAGAAUUAACAGCAGGCAAAAGACAGUGCAACUGACCUAUAACACUGAAGGGUCAAGCAGCAGCAUGUAUGAAUACCACUGAUGGAACAUGAGUUUUGAAUUGCAAGCUGGAAACUUGACAAGUGACAUGACUGUUUGAAGGCACUGGAUGUGAUAUUUGCCAUGCUGGGAGUUAACCUAAAAGAAAAGACUGAAAAGAUCAAGAGAGAAGUAACAGAGAAGAAGAAACAGCUGAGUUGGGCCUGUGUUGAUCUGUGAGGCCCCACAGGAAACUAUGAGAACAGUGAGAGACGUGAACCUGGACGUCAUAUAGUGAAUGCAUAUGGGAAAAUUGGAUUGAAGGCUGAACUCAUGAAAGUUUAGAAAUGUCCACCACAUCACAACAAAGAGGGAAACAAAAAAGCAGGUGAAACUAUGUCAGUUGACCUCGGACUCUCAGUACGCUGUGGAAUCUGAGGCCAACCACUAGAUAUGAUGUGAGGAAAAUGAACAGAGGGAGUAAUUUAAGUCUGAUUUCAGACUAUAGUAAAAAGAACAAAGCAGAGUAGGAGCCAUUGAGAUGAUCCACGAUUUGCCCU
Oreochromis aureus is the source of this 1260-nucleotide long non-coding RNA. RefSeq lists it as uncharacterized. NCBI's taxonomy places the organism in Eukaryota, Metazoa, Chordata, Actinopteri, Cichliformes, Cichlidae. The transcript has 3 exons. The record is from RefSeq and is a predicted model, not a curated record.